Etheostoma spectabile (orangethroat darter) is the source of this 168-nucleotide long non-coding RNA. RefSeq lists it as uncharacterized. The record is from RefSeq and is a predicted model, not a curated record. The transcript is spliced from 3 exons. Lineage: Eukaryota; Metazoa; Chordata; Actinopteri; Perciformes; Percidae.
UCACAGAAUUAAAAGGCGAUGAAAUGAAAUAGGUCCUAUGCUGGGUUUUAUUGAGCCAUGGACAGCAGUGUGUUGCCUUCUGCGUACUGAAACUAAACUAUACUUAAUAUAACUUUAGAUAUAUUGUAAUGUAAUAUUGUAUAAUAUCUUUCUAUGUAUGUAAAAAAA